AGCCUCAAAAUGUUGUACUAUUCUAAUACCUUUGUUAGGGUUAGGGUUAAAUUUAACAAAGACUGGACUUAUAAUGAAUCUCUGCUUUUCAGGUCUCAUUGCGUUUCGUGGGUGACUUGUCACGUCUAAUCCACGACGACAAGUUUAACCUUUCGACACCAAUAUCAUAAUGUGGCCAAUUACUCCUGAAUGAUAAGGCUCAUUACUACAGGACUUCUGUGUGAAGCAUUCUGAUGGUGUAUAAAGCAGGCAGAACAUUUUACACAACUCAAGGGAAUUUCUACAAUUCAGAAAUACUACAAACUU
Molecule: long non-coding RNA, 306 nt
Organism: Macrobrachium nipponense
Lineage: Eukaryota; Metazoa; Arthropoda; Malacostraca; Decapoda; Palaemonidae
Exons: 2
Source: RefSeq, a predicted model, not a curated record